This 319-nucleotide ribosomal RNA is filed under the name uncultured Glomeromycotina. RNAcentral describes it as "eukaryotic LSU rRNA". Lineage: Eukaryota; Fungi; Glomeromycota. The record is from RNAcentral.
GCGUGAUUAUGUGGAGCGUGAGGAGCUAAACACUCUUAUGCCUUCAUAUUCGUGCGUUUUGGGUGUACUUGCCCGCAUGGUAGGUUAACAUCAAUUUCGGACGCCAUAAAAUGGUCGGAGGAAUGUGGCUUCGACCUCGGUUGAAGUGUUAUAGCCUUUGGCAGAUGUGGUGACCGGGAUUGAGGAUUGCAACGGAUACCCUUCGGGGCUACCCGUCUGAUCUCUGAUCGUUACUCUGGUGCCGAAAGCUUGCUUACGGUUAUCAAAGUUGAUGGUCAAUAGGUUAGAACGGGUUAAAUUCGUUAAGGAUGUUGACGUA